Molecule: ribosomal RNA, 468 nt
Filed under: uncultured bacterium
Lineage: Bacteria
Description: partial 16S ribosomal RNA
Rfam family: Bacterial small subunit ribosomal RNA
Source: RNAcentral
GACGAACGCUGGCGGCGUGCUUAACACAUGCAAGUCGAACGGAAAGGCCCUGCUUUUGUGGGGUGCUCGAGUGGCGAACGGGUGAGUAACACGUGAGUAACCUGCCCUUGACUUUGGGAUAACUUCAGGAAACUGGGGCUAAUACCGGAUAGGAGCUCCUGCUGCAUGGUGGGGGUUGGAAAGUUUCGGCGGUUGGGGAUGGACUCGCGGCUUAUCAGCUUGUUGGUGGGGUAGUGGCUUACCAAGGCUUUGACGGGUAGCCGGCCUGAGAGGGUGACCGGCCACACUGGGAUUGAGAUACGGCCCAGACUCCAACGGGAGGCAGCAGUGGAGUAGAUGGCACAACGGGCGGAAGCCUGAUGCAGCAACGCCGCGUGCGGGAUGACGGCCUUCGGGUUGGAAACCGCUUUCGCCUGUGACGAAGCGUGAGUGACGGUAAUGGGUAAAGAAGCACCGGCUAACUACGUG